This 1190-nucleotide ribosomal RNA is filed under the name Phalacrocorax brasilianus (Neotropic cormorant). RNAcentral describes it as "Nannopterum brasilianus (Neotropic cormorant) partial 16S ribosomal RNA". It matches the Rfam family "Bacterial large subunit ribosomal RNA", at positions 967 to 2925 of the family's 2925-position model. Lineage: Eukaryota; Metazoa; Chordata; Aves; Suliformes; Phalacrocoracidae. The record is from RNAcentral.
AUGUAGCAAGCCAAGAGCAAUUUAAAGGGGGUACAGCCCCUUUAAAAAAGAGAACAGCCUCCCAUAGAGGAUAACUAACCACCCGCUAACAAUCCAAACUGUAGGCCCUUAAGCAGCCACCAACAAAGAGUGCGUCAAAGCUCCCAACCUAAAACUCUAAAAACAACGUGACUCCCUCAUCCCCAACAGGCCUACCUAUACAGAAUAGGAGCACCAAUGCUAAAAUGAGUAACUGAGGGCCCCCCCUCUUAAGCGCAAACUUACAUCCCACAUUAUUAACGGACCACAACCAAUACCACAAACCCACACAAGACCCUAUAUUUUACCCCCCGUUAAUCCAACCCAGGAGCGCCCAACUAGAAAGAUUAAAAUCUGUAAAAGGAACUAGGCAAACCCAGGACCCGACUGUUUACCAAAAACAUAGCCUUCAGCAGGCCAGGUAUUGAAGGUGAGGCCUGCCCAGUGACACUACGUUCAACGGCCGCGGUAUCCUAACCGUGCAAAGGUAGCGCAAUCAAUUGUCCCAUAAAUGGGAACCGGUAUGAAUGGCUAAACGAGGCCCCAACUGUCUCUUACAGAUAAUCAGUGAAAUUGAUCUCCCUGUGCAAAAGCAGGAAUAAACACAUAAGACGAGAAGACCCUGUGGAACUUAAAAAUCAGCAGCCACCCGACACUAAAACCAAACCUAUCAGGCCCACCACAACCAGACACUGGCCCACAUUUUUCGGUUGGGGCGACCUUGGAGAAAAACAAAUCCUCCAAAAACAAGACCUCCCCUCUUAACCAAGAGCAACCCCUCAAAGUACUAACAGUAAUCAGACCCAAUACAAUUGACCAAUGGACCAAGCUACCCCAGGGAUAACAGCGCAAUCCCCUUCAAGAGCCCAUAUCGACAAGGGGGUUUACGACCUCGAUGUUGGAUCAGGACAUCCUAAUGGUGCAGCAGCUAUUAAGGGUUCGUUUGUUCAACGAUUAAUAGUCCUACGUGAUCUGAGUUCAGACCGGAGCAAUCCAGGUCGGUUUCUAUCUAUGCACAAACUUCUCCCAGUACGAAAGGACCGGAAAAGUGGGGCCAAUGCUUUAAACAUGCCCCCCCACAAGUAAUGAACCCAACUAAAUUACAAAAAGGCCACACAUCAACCCUAAUCCUAGAAAAGGAUCGUUAGCGUGGCAAAGCAGGGUAAGUGCAA